Molecule: ribosomal RNA, 305 nt
Filed under: uncultured bacterium
Lineage: Bacteria
Description: bacterial SSU rRNA
Rfam family: Bacterial small subunit ribosomal RNA
Source: RNAcentral
GCCUACGGGGCGCAGCAGUGGGGAAUAUUGCACAAUGGAGGGAACUCUGAUGCAGCGACGCCGCGUGAGUGAAGAAGUAAUUCGUUAUGUAAACCUCUUUUGUCAGGGAGCAAAGGGCGCCACGUGUGGCGUUUUGCGAGUACCUGAAGAAAAAGCAUCGGCUAACUCCGUGCCAGCAGCCGCGGUAAUACGGAGGAUGCGAGCGUUAUCCGGAUUUAUUGGGUUUAAAGGGUGCGCAGGCGGAAUGUCAAGUCAGCGGUAAAAUUUCGGGGCUCAACCCCGUCGUGCCGUUGAAACUGGCGUUU